Non-coding RNA from Plutella xylostella (diamondback moth), 4853 nucleotides. The record is from RefSeq and is a predicted model, not a curated record. NCBI's taxonomy places the organism in Eukaryota, Metazoa, Arthropoda, Insecta, Lepidoptera, Plutellidae.
UUGAUGUUUAUAGGCGUGAAGUAUUAAUUAAUAAGUACCAAUUUACUGCGUACAUCGAUACCGGAAGCAAGCUUAAUGUACUCUCGCUUCCGGCUGCAGAGAAAUUACAACUUGAAAUACAGCCAUCUGUAGUUGUUAUGAAGGGAUUUGGGGGAGGUCGAACGCAGUCAGUUGGUACAGGCAAAGUUACAGUAUUGAUCGAUGAUAUAGAAUUAGUAGGCUGUGUGGAAAUAACUUCAUGUGAAUUGCCAAACAUAGACCUUAUAAUUGGACAAACAAUGAUAAACCAGAACAAUGUUAGUUUGGUUACCACGUCAACGUCGGUAAAAUUUAUACCUACUCACAUUUUAACUAAUGCGUUAAAAGAUAUACAACUGAGUGAAUUCGAUUGUUUAAAUAAGUUUGCAGUUUAUUUGACUAGUGACGUUGUGUUGCCUAAGAAAUGUAGAACAUUUGUACAAGUUUAUUUAAAAUGUAAUGAUGAACAGGAACACGUGUUUUUGACAAAACCAGUCUAUUUUGAAUUAGGUAGUUUGUGCUACUUUAUUGCGGAGACGGUAAUAAAUUCCCAUAAUUCGUACUUAGAGGUCAUUAAUCUAGGUAGUGAGGAUAUAACGUGGACCGCUCACAAUUUAAUAGCUAGGGCUGAGCUAAUGACACAGCAAACCAGUGAAUGCGGUAUGGAAGUGUUUACCAUUAAUGAAACUUCAACGAGUGAUUCACGUGUAUAUAAUGAUAAUAUAUUAACUGAAUCGGAUAUAAAUAUGGGUUCACUUAAUGACUCGGAUAAGGAAAAAUUAUUGCGGUUACUAAACAACUAUAGUCAUUCGUUUGCGAGGGAUACCAAAGAUUUAGGCUGCACAAAUUUAAUUAAAAUGCACAUCCAUACAACAACAAAUCAACCUGUAUAUUGCAAGCCUUAUAGAUUAUCUCACAAAGAAAGUGAAAUAGUUAACGAAAAAGUGGAAGACCUUUUAGAAGCAGGUAUAAUUAGGGAAUCCAUGUCAGAAUAUUCUAGUCCUGUAGUGCUUGUAAAGAAAAAAGAUGAAGGCUAUAGGCUAUGCGUAGAUUAUAGAGCAUUGAAUGCACGCACCGUUAAGGAUCGGUAUCCCCUGCCUCAUAUAGAAGACCAAGUGACACGUUUAUCUGGGAAGUGUUUCUUCACAACCCUGGAUCUUGCUCAAGGCUAUUAUCAGGUUCCUAUCGAUGUAGAGUCAAUUAAUAAAACUGCAUUUGUUACACCAUCAGGCCAAUACGAAUUUUUAAAAAUGCCGUUCGGUUUAGCUAAUGCUCCAGCGGUAUUUUCAAGAUUAAUCCAGAUGACUCUAGGUAGAGUUAGUAGAGAUAUAGCUCUAUAUUUAGAUGACGUAAUGAUUCCAACCCAUUCGGUAGAGACAGGCCUAGAGCUCCUUGAACAGGUUUUACAGCUUUUAAAUGAGGCUAAUUUAAAACUCAAUCUAAAAAAAUGCUCGUUUCUUAAAGAUAGUGCCACAUACUUAGGACAUGAAAUAACUGCAGGAACUAUACAACCUGGUCAAGCAAAAGUUAAUUGUGUUGCUAAUUAUAAAAAACCUGGCAAUGUCCAUGAAAUUAGACAAUUCAUAGGUCUAACAUCAUAUUUUAGAAAAUUCAUUCAGGGAUUUGCUCAAAUCGCGCGACCUUUAACGGAGCUUACCAGAAAAAAUGUAGAGUUUACUUGGGGUGUAGAGCAGGAACAAGCUUUCCAAACUUUAAAGACACGGUUAAUGGAAAGACCUGUUUUAGGGAUUUAUGACAAGGAUGCAAAAACUGAGCUUCACACAGAUGCGAGCAAACUAGGACUUGGCGGGAUACUCAUGCAGUAUCAGACGGAUGGUAGUUUAAAACCUAUUGCCUAUUUUAGUAGAGUCACUACUAAAGAAGAGAGCUUGUAUCACAGUUAUGAGUUAGAGACACUUGCGGUUGUAGAGUCCUUGAAAAGAUUUCGCAUAUAUAUAACUGGAAUACAGGUUAAAGUAGUAACAGAUUGCGCAGCAUUACGUACGACGUUGACAAAGAAGGACCUUAUUCCGCGCAUAGCUCGAUGGUGGUUAACAAUCCAAGACUUCGAUCUUGAAAUAGAGUAUAGACCUGGGGAAAGGAUGAAGCAUGUUGAUGCUCUUAGUAGAAAUCCCGUGUCAAGUCACAUACUAAUGAUAGAUAAUUCUGACUGGUUGGUAACUUUACAAAUGCAGGACGAUAAUAUACAGCACAUUUUAACUCAAUUAAAAGAGCCAAACGUUAGUCCUAACAUUUCAAAUAAUUAUGUAGCUAAAGACGGCGUUCUUUAUCGAAAGACUUUGGCGGGCGAACGGUUCGUGGUCCCAAAGUUAGCCAAAUACGGUAUUUUACAAAAACUUCAUGACCAAAUAGGUCAUCCCGGCUUUGAUAGGUGUGAGCAAGCGAUUAAGGCUCAGUUCUGGUUUCCGAAAAUGACCAGAUUUAUCCGUAAAUAUUUAAACUCUUGCAUACAGUGUGCAUUCGGAAAAGGUAAUCAUGGUAGGCUAGAGGGAGAAUUAUAUCCUAUUGAGAAAGCAGCUGUGCCUAUGCAUACUCUACAUGCGGACCAUUUGGGUCCUUUUGUCAAGACGCGUAAAGGAAAUACCUACAUUUUAGUAGUUAUAGAUUCCUUUACAAAAUUUGUAUUUGCAAAGGUAGCUAAGAAUUGCAGUUCUAUUGAAACAAUAAGACUUCUUAAAGAGAUAUUCACUGAGUUCGGUAACGCUUCCAGAGUAAUAACGGAUAGGGGCAAAGCCUUUACUAGCCGAUACUUCAAACAGUUUGCCCAGGAAAUGCAAUUCAAACACGUGCUGAAUGCUAUAGCUAGCCCUCGUUCGAACGGACAAGUAGAACGGGUUAAUAGGACCAUUUUAAACGGAUUGAAUACAAUGUCAGAAUCUGACUGUACGUGGGACAAUAAAUUACCUGAUGUUGUCUGGGGUAUAAACAAUACCGUUCAUGCAACAACGGGAGUAUCACCAUUCAGUCUAAUGUUUGGUCACUCUAACAGCCGUUUCCCGGCUAUUCCAACUGGUGAGCCUCAAAACUCUGAGACCCAACAACAACAAUUACAAGUUAGACGAGAUAAUGCUAAAUUAAGGAUUGAUAGGAAUAUGACUGUCAUGAAAUCGCGUUUUGACAGUAAACGUAAGCGCGUUAAAAAAUAUAAUGUAGGGCAGCUUGUCUUAUGGAAAGGUGGAAUAGCUAGGGACGCGAAGGCAAAGAUUACUCGCAAACUCGAUGGUCUAUACACUGGUCCAUACAGAGUGUGUAAAGCUGAUCACUCGCUAGAUCGAUACACAAUAUGUAGCAUUAAAGGUCUGAAAGGUUACAAAAAGUUCAGCGCUGUAGUGCGAGGAGAAGUGCUACGACCAUACAAAACUGUUAUGUCUGAAGAAGAAUCUUCAGGCAGUGAUCAAGAGGUCGACCGCGACGACCUGAUAGAUUUAUUAGAAAGCUAAAAACAUAAGAAGCUGGUGGAUGUAGCAAAUGCGUGUUCUAUUUAUCAAUGAAUAAGUAAUCGUAAUGUAUUUAGCAGGCAUUAGCAUUCCAUUUAAUCAAUAAGUAACAAUGAAUAAUAUGUUGUAUAUAUUUUUGUAUGGUACAAUAAAAUUUUAGGAUAUGUAAAUUAACUUAAGAUGUGAUAUUUGUAUAUUAUUGUAUAUACCUAUACCAACUACUAACAAUCUUGCGUAGGUUUCAGUAGUUACACCAGUAUAAUACUAAUUUUAUGUAAGAUAAAUAAAAUUAAUGAGUAACCGUGUGUGUGCGUGUGUAUGAGAUAGAAAGAAUAAACAUAAUUAUUGUACUUAGUGAUUAAAUAAAUAAUCAUGAUAAUAUACAAUAUAUGUUUUUGGCUACUUUUAACAGCUACACUAAAAGUUCUAAGGUCCUUACCUAUUUUUACAACACAAUAAUGUAUGAUUGGACGGCUGUGUGAUCAAGUCCUUAUUACAUUUAUCAAACAGAUAUAUUUGAUGAAGAUCUUUUAAAUUACAUUAUCAAAGAACUGUGUGGUUGGAUGGCUGUGUGAUCAAGUCCAUAUUAUAUUAUCAAACAGAUACCUACUUAUUUAUUUACUGUGUGAUUCGACGGAUAUUUUAUAUUUUAUCAGAGAUACUUACUUACUGUGUGAUUAAACCGCUGUGUGAUGAAACCUUAUUACAUUAUCAAACAGAUACUUACAUCCAAUUUACUGUGUGAUUCGACCGCUAUGAAUCUGGACUCUUUGGGCGAGCCAAGCCUACAACGGAUGGGGGCCGUGGGACACGGCCCGUGCAGGAUGGCCGAGUGUUAGCGGCUUCCGCAACCACUAGCGCCACCAACCUCCGGACAUGAGCAACAUGAUCGAGCAUCAGCAGAAGUUACAAGACUAAUUUACUUAAGCAGUGAUUAAAUAUAAAGCGAAGUGUCUUAUAUAUUAUUGUUAGCAUUUAUUAGGUAUUUUAGUGAAUGAUUUUCAAGUAGAUUCAUUAUAUUUCAACUCUGCAUCUUUCUUACUUAAAGUUACUUCCGUUACCACUGUUUCCUUAUUUUAUCAUUUAAUUUAUGUUUGUUUUUAGUUAAUACUUAAUUAAUACAUAGUCACUAUGGUGUGUAAUUGAUAUCAAUAAUUAAUAUUAAAUUAAAUUCAUAAUAGUUAAUGUAUUAGUAGCAGUUUAUACAAACUUAAUAAAUUAUAGAGGUAAGGUAGGGAGAGCUCCCCGCCGCCGCGCCAAGUAAGCGCCAUUUUUUUUGUAAUGAUAUAAAAGUAGUCGGGAGCUCAUUUCAGGGAUCAUUCUUUAUCGAGCAUUUGCUAAGGGGUCACUAUGCCCAAAUAUACGUCGACAAUUAUA